This 506-nucleotide ribosomal RNA is filed under the name uncultured bacterium. RNAcentral describes it as "partial 16S ribosomal RNA". It matches the Rfam family "Bacterial small subunit ribosomal RNA", at positions 30 to 523 of the family's 1533-position model. The record is from RNAcentral.
AUUGAACGCUGGCGGCAGGCUUAACACAUGCAAGUCGAGCGGUAACAGAGAGAAGCUUGCUUCUCUGCUGACGAGCGGCGGACGGGUGAGUAAUGCCUAGGAAUCUGCCUAGUAGUGGGGGAUAACUUGCCGAAAGGUAAGCUAAUACCGCAUACGUCCUACGGGAGAAAGGAGGGGACCUUCGGGCCUUUCGCUAUUAGAUGAGCCUAGGUCGGAUUAGUUAGUUGGUGAGGUAAUGGCUCACCAAGACCGCGAUCCGUAACUGGUCUGAGAGGAGGAGCAGUCAACCUGGAACUGGGACACGGUCCAGACUCCUACGGGAGGCAGCAGUGGGGAAUAUUGGACAAUGGGGGGAACCCUGAUCCAGCCAUGCCGCGUGUGUGAAGAAGGUCUUAGGAUUGUAAAGCACUUUAAGUUGGGAGGAAGAGCAGUUAACUAAUAUUUGACUGUUUUGACGUUACCGACAGAAUAAGCACCGGCUAACUUCGUGCCAGCCGCCGCAGUAA